AAUCGCUCUCUCUCUCUCCGUCUCUCCCUCUCUUUCUCAUUGUUGCUAUACGUGCAUCUGGAUAGGCAUAGGCAGUGUGGUCACCCAGCACAUUUUCAUAGAAAUGCUGUGGGUUUUUUUUAAUGAAAUCUUUAUUCAGUUAUUUGUGAACAGUCUCUGCGUUUCACUUUCGAUGUUGCGUCACCGUGGACAAGUGUCUGCUCGAAAACUUAAUGCAAAGCGGCUAAAAUGUUCAGAACGUGUUGAACUUUUCAGAACAUGAAUGUUUGUCUGUGGGGGAUGGGUGGGUUACAGCAGUGCAGUGCAGUGCACGGGACUGCACAGCCUUUUGUGACAUGUCGUGGCGCGACAGGUUAUCCAGCCUCCGAAGGAGUCAUAGUUCCCCAGUCAUAGCCUACUGUUGGUUCGCAUCUCCACCGAAGCAACUGAAUUUGCAGUCCUAAUCACAGAUGAUUAGCCACACCUGGUGUAACAGAUGUAUUGUCAUGUGUGCAUCACAUCCCCAGUUAACCGGAAUCCAGUCGAUCGCGCACAACAGCGCAUUGAAAGGAUGAAAUGUUCACAAGCACCAAUACAAAAAAAACGUCUUCAACCUAUUAGUCCGUAGGCUAUCCUGAGGAUAUCCGUUCCUGACUUGAAUAGGUAGUGCAGAAAUAAUUAACAGACAUCACUUAGCCUAUAAGUUAGGAGCGGAAUUGAGACGGUGAAUGCAGGACAGAAUAAUGAAAACAAAACACCGUCGACUGGCGGUCUUGUUUAGGGAUCACGCUUGUGUUAUUAUCAAAUACCCAAUGUUACGUGCGCAAUUGGCUGACUCUUUCCACUUGUAGCCUAAAACUGAGGGAGGGAUCAACAUACAACACACAAAAAAAUACUGGGUUAUUUCUUUACCCAAAUACUGGUUUAUGACAAUUUUACUACUUAAUGGGUUUUUUAUACCCACACUGGGUAAUUUGAUAGAAACAUGCUGGGUUAUAUGUUUACCCAAUUAUUGGUGUGUGGUCGUUUGACCAUAUACUGGGUUAUGCUAACCAUUGAUGAGUUAUUAUACCCAAUCACUGGGUUUAUCAUAACAUUUGAAAUCAGAGCCAGCCAACGGACUUUUUCCUGGAAGUCAACUGAACUGGGGAAAACCUUCAACAACAAGGAAAGGUUAACCAGAGAUCGCACUGGCGUCCGGAUCCUUUGUAAGCUGAUCACGUUAUGUCCGUCUGUGCUAAGACUGGAAGUGACUGAAAGACAACACAGAUGCAUUCUUUCAGCAAGCACUUGUCCUGGAGGUUUUGUAGACAGAACUGGAAGUGACUGAAAGAAAACGGAGACUUAUUCUUUCAGCAAGGUGACCAAAAUCUGUUUCGCUCUGCAGCACUUGUCCCGGAGGCUUUGUAGACAGAGUGACUGAACGAAAACCUAAAUGAGAAAUGCUGUGUACCUCAUCUUGAACUCUUUCACAUGGUGAUUCCUACACAUAAUUGCACACUGUAUGUGUUUAGCUAUCCUAUCUUACAAAGACUUAUUGCCAAUACUGUAUCUGCCUUUCCUCAAUACAAUGUAAAAAGUGCUGCAUAGACCAUUUAGAGAAGCAAUGUCUCAUGACUUUUGCUGUAUGUUUAUUUUUGAUCAAGUUUCAUUUGUUUUGUAAAAUAUCUUUGCAGAUUUUCUUUUCGUGCCUGGACACUUUUUUCCUUUCAAAUAUUGCUUUGAAUUGAUGCAAAUUGAAGAACGUGAAUCCCUGGUAAUAAAGGAAGGUUGACCAGAAAAUAA
Engraulis encrasicolus (European anchovy) is the source of this 1764-nucleotide long non-coding RNA. RefSeq lists it as uncharacterized. The transcript has 8 exons. Lineage: Eukaryota; Metazoa; Chordata; Actinopteri; Clupeiformes; Engraulidae. The record is from RefSeq and is a predicted model, not a curated record.